GAUGAGGGCCAGCAUAAUUGUCCGAGCAAGGGUCCUGUGAAGAAUCCUUUUCCCUCCAAUGAUAAUCCCAGUUGCGGUCGGUGUCCACACCCACACAAUCGAUAGGAAAAUAUUCAAACGAUAAAGUUCAACCAGUAUGAACAAGAAAGCUCAGCAGUGUAUAUAAUCAUGGCAAUUUAUAUCCUACGCUAAUUUUAAUAAAACUUGAAAACUUUCCAUAAAAUAUUGUA
Molecule: long non-coding RNA, 230 nt
Organism: Pieris brassicae (large cabbage white)
Lineage: Eukaryota; Metazoa; Arthropoda; Insecta; Lepidoptera; Pieridae
Exons: 2
Source: RefSeq, a predicted model, not a curated record